Molecule: ribosomal RNA, 492 nt
Filed under: uncultured bacterium
Lineage: Bacteria
Description: partial 16S ribosomal RNA
Rfam family: Bacterial small subunit ribosomal RNA
Source: RNAcentral
AGUGAACGCUGGCGGUAGGCCUAACACAUGCAAGUCGAACGGCAGCACAGUAAGAGCUGGCUCUUACGGGUGGCGAGUGGCGGACGGGUGAGGAAUACAUCGGAAUCUACUUUUUCGUGGGGGAUAACGUAGGGAAACUUACGCUAAUACCGCAUACGACCUACGGGUGAAAGCAGGGGAUCUUCGGACCUUGCGCGAUUGAAUGAGCCGAUGUCGGAUUAGCUAGUUGGCGGGGUAAAGGCCCACCGAGGCGACGAUCCGUAGCUGGUCUGAGAGGAUGAUCAGCCACACUGGAACUGAGACACGGUCCAGACUCCUACGGGAGGCAGCAGUGGGGAAUAUUGGACAAUGGGCGCAAGCCUGAUCCAGCCAUACCGCGUGGGUGAAGAAGGCCUUCGGGUUGUAAAGCCCUUUUGUUGGGAAAGAAAAGCAGCAGGUUAAUACCCCGCUGUUCUGACGGUACCCAAAGAAUAAGCACCGGCUAACUUCGUG